GACGAACGCUGGCGGCGUGCCUAAUACAUGCAAGUAGAACGCUGAAGAGAGGAGCUUGCUCUUCUUGGAUGAGUUGCGAACGGGUGAGUAACGCGUAGGUAACCUGCCUUGUAGCGGGGGAUAACUAUUGGAAACGAUAGCUAAUACCGCAUAACAAUAGGUGACACAUGUCAUUUAUUUGAAAGGGGCAAUUGCUCCACUACAAGAUGGACCUGCGUUGUAUUAGCUAGUAGGUGAGGUAACGGCUCACCUAGGCGACGAUACAUAGCCGACCUGAGAGGGUGAUCGGCCACACUGGGACUGAGACACGGCCCAGACUCCUACGGGAGGCAGCAGUAGGGAAUCUUCGGCAAUGGGGGCAACCCUGACCGAGCAACGCCGCGUGAGUGAAGAAGGUUUUCGGAUCGUAAAGCUCUGUUGUAAGUCAAGAACGAGUGUGAGAGUGGAAAGUUCACACUGUGACGGUAGCUUACCAGAAAGAGACGGCUAACUACGUG
This 497-nucleotide ribosomal RNA is filed under the name uncultured bacterium. RNAcentral describes it as "partial 16S ribosomal RNA". It matches the Rfam family "Bacterial small subunit ribosomal RNA", at positions 28 to 507 of the family's 1533-position model. The record is from RNAcentral.